CGUGUAGCAAUACACGAGUGGCGCACGGGUGAGUAACGCGUGGAUAUCUGCCUUUUGGUUCGGAAUAACCCCGGGAAACUGGGGCUAAUACCGGAUGGUUCCUUCGGGAUAAAGAUUUAUCGCCAAAAGAUGAGUCCGCGUACGAUUAGCUAGUUGGUGAGGUAAUGGCUCACCAAGGCGACGAUCGUUAGCUGGUCUGAGAGGACGAUCAGCCACACUGGGACUGAGACACGGCCCAGACUCCUACGGGAGGCAGCAGUGGGGAAUAUUGGACAAUGGGGGCAACCCUGAUCCAGCCAUGCCGCGUGAGUGAUGAAGGCCUUCGGGUUGUAAAGCUCUUUUGGCGGGGACGAUGAUGACGGUACCCGCAGAAUAAGCCCCGGCUAACUUCGUGCCAGCAGCCGCGGUAAGACGAAGGGGGCUAGCGUUGUUCGGAAUUACUGGGCGUAAGGCGAGUGUAGGUGGUUGUCCAAGUUGGAUGUGAAAGCCUUGAGCUCAACUCAAGAAAUGCAUUCAGGACUGGGCGGCUAGAGGACCGGAGAGGAUAGUGGAAUUCCCAGUGUAGUGGUGAAAUACGUAGAGAUUGGGAAGAACACCAGUGGCGAAGGCGGCUAUCUGGACGGUUUCUGACACUAAGACUCGAAAGCGUGGGGAGCAAAACAGGAUUAGAUACCCUGGUAGUCCACGCCGUAAACGAUGGGUGCUAGACGUUGGCGAGCUUGCUCGUCAGUGUCGCAGCUAACGCGUUAAGCACC
This 755-nucleotide ribosomal RNA is filed under the name uncultured bacterium. RNAcentral's name for it is "bacterial SSU rRNA". It matches the Rfam family "Bacterial small subunit ribosomal RNA", at positions 69 to 868 of the family's 1533-position model. The record is from RNAcentral.